CGCCCGUAGCAAUACGGGAGUGGCAGACGGGAGAGUAACACGUGGGAACGUGCCCUUUGGUUCGGAACAACCCAGGGAAACUUGGGCUAAUACCGGAUACGUCCGUAAGGAGAAAGAUUUAUCGCCAAAGGAUCGGCCCGCGUCUGAUUAGCUAGUUGGUGGGGUAAUGGCCCACCAAGGCGACGAUCAGUAGCUGGUCUGAGAGGAUGAUCAGCCUCAUUGGGACUGAGACACGGCCCAAACUCCUACGGGAGGCAGCAGUGGGGAAUCUUGGACAAUGGGCGCAAGCCUGAUCCAGCCAUGCCGCGUGGGUGAUGAAGGCCCUAGGGUUGUAAAGCCCUUUCGGCGGGGAAGAUAAUGACGGUACCCGCAGAAGAAGCCCCGGCUAACUUCGUGCCAGCAGCCGCGGUAAUACAAAGGGGGCUAGCGUUGCUCGGAAUCACUGGGCGUAAAGCGCACGUAGGCGGACUCUUAAGUCAGGGGUGAAAUCCUGGAGCUCAACUCCAGAACUGCCUUUGAUACUGAGAGCCUUGAGUCCGGAAGAGGUAAGUGGAACUGCGAGUGUAGAGGUGAAAUUCGUAGAUAUUCGCAAGAACACCAGUGGCGAAGGCGGCUUACUGGUCCGGUACUGACGCUGAGGUGCGAAA
Molecule: ribosomal RNA, 647 nt
Filed under: uncultured soil bacterium
Lineage: Bacteria
Description: bacterial SSU rRNA
Rfam family: Bacterial small subunit ribosomal RNA
Source: RNAcentral